This is a long non-coding RNA of Helianthus annuus (common sunflower), 259 nucleotides long. RefSeq lists it as uncharacterized. The transcript is spliced from 3 exons. Lineage: Eukaryota; Viridiplantae; Streptophyta; Magnoliopsida; Asterales; Asteraceae. The record is from RefSeq and is a predicted model, not a curated record.
GCUUCAUCUAAUUGGAACUUAUAGAAAACCUAAUCUCCUAAUCUUCUUCGCCGUUUCAUCUAAAUAAUCACAACGAAUCACUCCCAGAUUACGAUUAAUAGAUUGUUACUUUACAUCACACAUAUAAUUGCUGGUGUUAGGUUCCGAGGGCAACGAUGGUGAUUCAUUCGUUGAUUGUUGUGUAGAUAGAUGAUCGAUUGAGCGGACUACAAGUCUUCAAAGGGGAUUGGGAACUACACACACGAUUUGAGGUUUUGGG